Molecule: transfer RNA, 72 nt
Filed under: Camelus dromedarius (Arabian camel)
Lineage: Eukaryota; Metazoa; Chordata; Mammalia; Artiodactyla; Camelidae
Also listed under: 1 other name
Rfam family: tRNA
About the family: Transfer RNA (tRNA) molecules are approximately 80 nucleotides in length. Their secondary structure includes four short double-helical elements and three loops (D, anti-codon, and T loops).
Source: Rfam by way of RNAcentral
AGGGGUACAGCUCAGGGGUAGGGUGCGUGCUUAGCAUGCAUGAGGUCCUGGGUUCAAUCCCCAGUGCCUCCA